Molecule: ribosomal RNA, 460 nt
Filed under: uncultured bacterium
Lineage: Bacteria
Description: partial 16S ribosomal RNA
Rfam family: Bacterial small subunit ribosomal RNA
Source: RNAcentral
CCUACGGGCGGCAGCAGUGAGGAAUAUUGGUCAAUGGGCGCAAGCCUGAACCAGCCAAGUAGCGUGAAGGAUGACGGCCCUACGGGUUGUAAACUUCUUUUGUCAAGGGAUAAAAUGAGGCACGAGUGCCUUUCUGUGUGUACUUUAAGAAUAAGCAUCGGCUAACUCCGUGCCAGCAGCCGCGGUAAUACGGAGGAUCCGAGCGUUAUCCGGAUUUAUUGGGUUUAAAGGGUGCGUAGGUGGGUUGUUAAGUCAGUUGUGAAAGUACGCGGCUCAACCGUGAAAUAGCAAUUGAUACUGGCAGUCUUGAGUACAGGUGAGGUAGGCGGAAUUCGGGGUGUAGCGGUGAAAUGCUUAGAUAUUACGAAGAACGCCGAUUGCGAAGGCAGCAUACUAAACUGCCACUGACAUUGAGGCUCGAAAGUGUGGGUAUCAAACAGGAUUAGAUACCCUUGUAGUC